GAUGAACGCUGGCGGCGUGCCUAAUACAUGCCAGUCGAGCGAACAGACGAGGAGCUUACUCCUCUGACGUUAGCGGCGGACGGGUGAGUAACACGUGGAUAACCUACCUAUAAGACUGGGAUAACUUCGGGAAACCGGAGCUAAUACCGGAUAACAUGUUGAACCGCAUGGUUCAACAGUGAAAGACGGUCUUGCUGUCACUUAUAGAUGGAUCCGCGUCGCAUUAGCUAGUUGGUAAGGUAACGGCUUACCAAGGCAACGAUGCGUAGCCGACCUGAGAGGGUGAUCGGCCACACUGGAACUGAGACACGGUCCAGACUCCUACGGGAGGCAGCAGUAGGGAAUCUUCCGCAAUGGGCGAAAGCCUGACGGAGCAACGCCGCGUGAGUGAAGAAGGUCUUCGGAUCGUAAAACUCUGUUAUUAGGGAAGAACAAAUGUGUAAGUAACUAUGCACGUCUUGACGGUACCUAAUCAGAAAGCCACGGCUAACUACGUG
This 497-nucleotide ribosomal RNA is filed under the name uncultured bacterium. Its description in RNAcentral is "partial 16S ribosomal RNA". It matches the Rfam family "Bacterial small subunit ribosomal RNA", at positions 28 to 507 of the family's 1533-position model. The record is from RNAcentral.